GCCGAAGAGAGCAAGAGCAGAUGACAUGGGGCUGUAUUCCUUCUCCCGUUAUACCAUUCUGAUAUUAUUACUCUCUGCAGCAAUCUUGGCCAUGCAGCCUUAUCAAAUCAGUGCAGAUAUUGAAGUAAUUAGAAAACUAGCAGCACGCAUGCCAAGUCCUCCCCCUCCACCAAAACCAAAUUUGAGGAGAGCCCAGAAACCACCAGAGCCUCCGCCUAGCUCUGUACAAGUUGAAAAUUAGGAUCCUUCAAUCGGCAUAUGUUAUUAAGUAAUAAGAGUGGAAUAUUUCUGCACGUAUGCCUCCUUUUUAUGGGAUCAAUGUAAGAUUUGGGUGUUUCUCAAUAAGCUAAAUGAAAUUUAGACCACUCGGUGUAAUGCAUGUUAAUUGGUUGUAAUUUGACUUCAAGAUUGUAAAUAAGCUGGCAAACAUGCUUGCUAACACCCAAUAGGGAAAAAAUACCCACUGAGAAUGAAAUAGAGAGAGAGAAAUGUUGUAUCUGAUCUACAAUUUCAACCGAAGUUUUCAUGGUUCUUUGAGUUUUCUUUCUA
This is a long non-coding RNA of Carya illinoinensis, 549 nucleotides long. RefSeq lists it as uncharacterized. Lineage: Eukaryota; Viridiplantae; Streptophyta; Magnoliopsida; Fagales; Juglandaceae. The record is from RefSeq and is a predicted model, not a curated record. The transcript is spliced from 2 exons.